UACGGAGGGGGCUAGCGUUGUUCGGAAUUACUGGGCGUAAAGCGUGCGCAGGCGGUUGCGCAAGACAGAUGUGAAAUCCCCGGGCUCAACCUGGGAACUGCAUUUGUGACUGCACGGCUGGAGUGCGGCAGAGGGGGAUGGAAUUCCGCGUGUAGCAGUGAAAUGCGUAGAUAUGCGGAGGAACACCGAUGGCGAAGGCAAUCCCCUGGGCCUGCACUGACGCUCAUGCACGAAAGCGUGGGGAGCAAACAGG
RNAcentral lists this ribosomal RNA (253 nucleotides) under uncultured bacterium. RNAcentral describes it as "partial 16S ribosomal RNA". It matches the Rfam family "Bacterial small subunit ribosomal RNA", at positions 524 to 776 of the family's 1533-position model. The record is from RNAcentral.